RNAcentral lists this ribosomal RNA (440 nucleotides) under uncultured bacterium. RNAcentral's name for it is "partial 16S ribosomal RNA". It matches the Rfam family "Bacterial small subunit ribosomal RNA", at positions 338 to 795 of the family's 1533-position model. The record is from RNAcentral.
CCUACGGGAGGCAGCAGUGGGGAAUAUUGCACAAUGGGGGAACCCCUGAUGCAGCGACGCCGCGUGAAGGAAGAAGUAUUUCGGUAUGUAAACUUCUAUCAGCAGGGAAGAAAAUGACGGUACCUGACUAAGAAGCCCCGGCUAACUACGUGCCAGCAGCCUCGGUAAUCCGUAGGGGGCAAGCGUUAUCCGGAUUUACUGGGUGUAAAGGGAGCGUAGGCGGUUUAGCAAGUCAGAAGUGAAAGCCCGGGGCGCAACUCCGGGACUGCUUUUGAAACUGUUGAACUAGAUUGCAGGAGAGGUAAGUGGAAGUCCUAGUGUAGCGGUGAAAUGCGUAGAUAUUAGGAGGAACACCAGUGGCGAAGGCGGCUUACUGGACUGUAAAUGACGCUGAGGCUCGAAAGCGUGGGGAGCAAACAGGAUUAGAUACCCCGGUAGUC